This 77-nucleotide transfer RNA is filed under the name Anaerolineales bacterium. Its description in RNAcentral is "tRNA-Arg". The record is from RNAcentral. Lineage: Bacteria; Bacillati; Chloroflexota; Anaerolineae; Anaerolineales.
ACCUGGCGCGGCAGGCGCUGGCGCUGCUGGACGAUUUCGAGUUGUCGAAGCGGCUGUCCGACUCCGCCGCUGAGCGC